GGGUGAUUAGCUCAGCUGGAGAGCACCUCCCUUACCCACAAAAGGAGGGUCGGCGGUUCGAUCGUCAUCACCCA
This 74-nucleotide transfer RNA is filed under the name Salmonella enterica subsp. enterica. RNAcentral describes it as "tRNA-OTHER". It matches the Rfam family "tRNA". From Rfam's summary of the family: Transfer RNA (tRNA) molecules are approximately 80 nucleotides in length. Their secondary structure includes four short double-helical elements and three loops (D, anti-codon, and T loops). Lineage: Bacteria; Pseudomonadati; Pseudomonadota; Gammaproteobacteria; Enterobacterales; Enterobacteriaceae. The record is from RNAcentral.